RNAcentral lists this ribosomal RNA (441 nucleotides) under uncultured bacterium. RNAcentral's name for it is "partial 16S ribosomal RNA". It matches the Rfam family "Bacterial small subunit ribosomal RNA", at positions 338 to 795 of the family's 1533-position model. The record is from RNAcentral.
CCUACGGGAGACUGCAGUGGGGAAUAUUGCACAAUGGGGGGAACCCUGAUGCAGCGACGCCGCGUGGGUGAAGGAGUAUUUCGGUAUGUAAAGCCCUAUCAGCAGGGAAGAACAAUGACGGUACCUGACUAAGAAGCACCGGCUAAAUACGUGCCAGCAGCCGCGGUAAUACGUAUGGUGCAAGCGUUAUCCGGAUUUACUGGGUGUAAAGGGAGCGCAGGCGGCGCGUUAAGCCUGGUGUGAAAGUCCGCGGCCCAACCGCGGGACUGCAUUGGGAACUGGCGCGCUGGAGUGCCGGAGGGGUAGGCGGAAUUCCUAGUGUAGCGGUGAAAUGCGUAGAUAUUAGGAGGAACACCAGUGGCGAAGGCGGCCUACUGGACGGUGACUGACGCUGAGGCUCGAAAGCGUGGGGAGCAAACAGGAUUAGAUACCCGAGUAGUC